This 490-nucleotide ribosomal RNA is filed under the name uncultured bacterium. RNAcentral describes it as "partial 16S ribosomal RNA". It matches the Rfam family "Bacterial small subunit ribosomal RNA", at positions 30 to 507 of the family's 1533-position model. The record is from RNAcentral.
AUUGAACGCUGGCGGCAUGCCUUACACAUGCAAGUCGAACGGCAGCAUGUUCUAGCUUGCUAGAUUGAUGGCGAGUGGCGAACGGGUGAGUAAUACAUCGGAACGUGCCCUGUAGUGGGGGAUAACUAGUCGAAAGAUUAGCUAAUACCGCAUACGACCUGAGGGUGAAAGUGGGGGACCGCAAGGCCUCAUGCUAUAGGAGCGGCCGAUGUCUGAUUAGCUAGUUGGUGGGGUAAAGGCCCACCAAGGCGACGAUCAGUAGCUGGUCUGAGAGGACGAUCAGCCACACUGGGACUGAGACACGGCCCAGACUCCUACGGGAGGCAGCAGUGGGGAAUUUUGGACAAUGGGGGCAACCCUGAUCCAGCAAUGCCGCGUGUGUGAAGAAGGCCUUCGGGUUGUAAAGCACUUUUGUCCGGAAAGAAAUCGCACUUACUAAUAUUAGGUGUGGAUGACGGUACCGGAAGAAUAAGGACCGGCUAACUACGUG